UACGGGGGGGGCAAGCGUUGUUCGGAUUUACUGGGCGUAAAGGGCGCGUAGGCGGCGAUUGCAAGUCAGUUGUGAAAUCUCCGGGCUUAACCCGGAAAGGUCAACUGAUACUGCAGGGCUAGAGUGCAGAAGGGGCAACUGGAAUUCUCGGUGUAGCGGUGAAAUGCGUAGAUAUCGAGAGGAACACCUGCGGCGAAGGCGGGUUGCUGGGCUGACACUGACGCUGAUGCGCGAAAGCCAGGGGAGCGAACGGG
Molecule: ribosomal RNA, 254 nt
Filed under: uncultured Acidobacteriota bacterium
Lineage: Bacteria; Pseudomonadati; Acidobacteriota
Description: uncultured Acidobacteria bacterium partial 16S ribosomal RNA
Rfam family: Bacterial small subunit ribosomal RNA
Source: RNAcentral